RNAcentral lists this ribosomal RNA (829 nucleotides) under uncultured rumen protozoa. RNAcentral describes it as "bacterial SSU rRNA". It matches the Rfam family "Eukaryotic small subunit ribosomal RNA", at positions 861 to 1831 of the family's 1831-position model. The record is from RNAcentral.
CAGUUCGAUAAAUAGAGACAGUGGGCAUAGUUUUAUUGUCAAGGUGAUCUGAUGUAAAGCUACCGUAUGCGAAGCAUGCAAGGAGUUCAUAUCAGACGAAGAUAGGAUCAAAGCAAUCAGAUACGUCGUAGUCUUCAUAACUAGCGACUAGGAUCGAUGAACAUCACAUUCAGUACUAUGAGAAAUCAAGUCUUGGUCUGGGGAGUAUGGUCGCAAGACUGAACUUAAAGAAUGACGGAAGGCGCGGCCAGGAGUGGAGCUGCGCUUAAUUUGACUCAACACGGGGAAACUAACAAGUACAAGACAUAGUAAGGAUGACAGAUGAUAGCUCUUCUUGAUUCUAUGGGUGGUUGUGCGUGACCGUCUUAGUGGUGGAGUGAUUUGUCUGGUUAAUUCCGAUAACGAACGAGACCUUAACCUGCUAACUAGAUAUUUUCAUUUUAUGAAUAUAUCUUCUUAGAGGGACUAUAUGCUUUAAGUAUAAGGAAGUAUGAGGCAAUAACAGGUCUGUGAUGCCCUUAUAUGUCCUGGGCUGCACGCGUGCUACACUGAUAUAUACAACAAGUGCCUAGCUAGAUAUAGUAUGGCAAUCUCGAAUAUAUAUCGUGAUGGGGAUAGAUCUUUGCAAUUAUAGAUCUUGAACGAGGAAUUCCUAGUAAGUGCAAGUCAUCAUCUUGCAUUGAUUAUGUCCCUGCCCUUUGUACACACCGCCCGUCGCUCCUACCGAUACCGGGUGACCCGGUGAACCUGUGGACCCAUGGGAAAAAUAAGUAACAUCAUAUCCUAAGGAAGGAGAAGUCGACAAGUAAUCGGAUCCCGCGAAAAGGCA